Molecule: ribosomal RNA, 451 nt
Filed under: uncultured Hydrogenophaga sp.
Lineage: Bacteria; Pseudomonadati; Pseudomonadota; Betaproteobacteria; Burkholderiales; Comamonadaceae
Description: bacterial SSU rRNA
Rfam family: Bacterial small subunit ribosomal RNA
Source: RNAcentral
GCGGUGGAUGAUGUGGUUUAAUCGAUGCAACGCGAAAACCUUACCCACCUUUGACAUGUAUGGAAGUUUCCAGAGAUGGAUUCGUGCUCGAAAGAGAGCCAUAACACAGGUGCUGCAUGGCUGUCGUCAGCUCGUGUCGUGAGAUGUUGGGUUAAGUCCCGCAACGAGCGCAACCCUUGUCAUUAGUUGCUACAUUCAGUUGGGCACUCUAAUGAGACUGCCGGUGACAAACCGGAGGAAGGUGGGGAUGACGUCAAGUCCUCAUGGCCCUUAUAGGUGGGGCUACACACGUCAUACAAUGGCCGGUACAAAGGGUCGCAAACCCGCGAGGGGGAGCCAAUCCAUCAAAGCCGGUCGUAGUCCGGAUCGCAGUCUGCAACUCGACUGCGUGAAGUCGGAAUCGCUAGUAAUCGUGGAUCAGCAUGUCACGGCGAAUACGUUCCCGGGUCUU